UAUGACAACCUUCCCCAGUACGAAAGGACCGGAAAGGUGGGGCCAAUACCCCAAGCACGCCCUCCCCCCCAAGUGAUGCCCCCCACUAAAUCACCAAAGGACUACCCCCACUACCCUAACAAAAAGGUU
RNAcentral lists this ribosomal RNA (129 nucleotides) under Aratinga nenday (Nanday parakeet). RNAcentral describes it as "partial 16S ribosomal RNA". The record is from RNAcentral. Lineage: Eukaryota; Metazoa; Chordata; Aves; Psittaciformes; Psittacidae.